This 11796-nucleotide long non-coding RNA is filed under the name Lactuca sativa (garden lettuce). RNAcentral describes it as "long non-coding RNA (LSAT_LNC005621)". The record is from RNAcentral. Lineage: Eukaryota; Viridiplantae; Streptophyta; Magnoliopsida; Asterales; Asteraceae.
GUACAACCAGUAGCGUUUACAUGUCAUACAUUGUUUAAACAUUACCUUCCCAAAAAUUAAAUUGUUCGAUUCAUACAUAAAUAAACUGCAACCGUCACUGAAUAUGAUUUCCUUUGAUUCACGGGUUCCCUGAGAAUACAAGUAUUUUGAAAAACGUCAACAUAUGAAAUGUUGGUGAGUUCAUAAGUAGUGUUUGAAAUCCAAUGUUUUGUAUUGUUGAAAACCACCAGAAAAUCCGAUAUUUUCUGAAAUGAAAGACUUUCGAAAAUGUUGUGAAGAUCCAUAGGUAUGCUUGUUUGUUUCUAUACUUGUAAAAAUGGUUCAUUAAAAUUAUAUGCGUUUCGAAUCCGAUAUGUUUUGAAAAAAAACCUAGGAAAACCCGAUGUUUUCCUAAUCCUUUGAAAUCCAUUAAGUUGCGUUGAAACCAUUACAAAAAAAUAGAAGUCUCAUUCCCAGGCGACGUUGGAUUAUUUUUGAGCAUGAUUAUUUACUACAAACCCGCAUUACACAAACGCCCAGUUUAUAGCAAUACUAACGAUCCCGAAGGCGUCGUCCGUACAAAUCACGUUAUCCAGCCGCCCUGAUUAUGUGUCGUCCCACAUCCGAAGAGUAAGAGGACACGAAGGCCUCGAUGACUCUAUUAAUCGGUUGGGGAUAAUAUGCGUACGAGGGGUCCCCGACCCGCCUCGCAAAAAUAUGCAGACUUUUCUAGCAAUACCAAAGGACCCUUGGGGACCAGUGGUGUACAAGCCAUUGAAAGUCCCUCUACGUUGUGCCAAGUCGGUGAAACUCAACACUUCGUAGAAAAAUAUGCGUCUUCGGGCCUUAAGAUCAGGUCAUUGGGCUAGCUAGGCCCAACAAGCAAGAUUUUACACUUUUGGGGCCCGAAGAUGGUGCGUAGACGUCUGUGCACACUCGUAUGUAAGCUAAGUUCCCAAACGUUAUUUGUAUGAACCGUAGUGUAGUAGUGUCGUAGUGUUAGUAGUUGUAGAUUUCUAUUGGUUCGAGACCGAGCCAAUUCGUUUAACAACGACUUUUGGUAUUGUAAUGUAUUGUACUUCGUCGAAAGCCGCGAUGCCAUUAUUUGAUCAAAUUGUGUAUAUUGAAUUAGCCUUGAGAAUUUUCUGUUUUCAGCCCCUCAUUGUUUGUAAAGUUUACAUUUUCAACCCUUUUAUUAAAUACUUCCCGGUUUGGUCCUUAAAUUAAUUUUCUUGACAUUUUAACACCAAAAAUUAUUGAAAUUAAUAUUUUUCAGCAUAUAUUUCAUAGAAAACAGUUUAAGUCCCUGAAAAUGCAGUUUUCUCGGUUUUAACCCUUCUUUUUCGCAAUUUUGACAAUUUUGGCCCAAAUUGUGAAACUUUUGCAACUUUGGUCCUUUUUAAAUUUGAAAAGCAUUUUAAACCUUUGAAAAGGACUUGGAUCACUUAUGGUCCACUGUUUUACAGAAAAUCACAGUUUUGGCCCUCCAAAACAGAAAAAUUCGCAUAAUGGGCCUCAUUGGGCCAAAAAUGUCAUUUUUAGCCCAUUAAGCUUGGAAUUUAUGUUUUUAAUCCCCUAAAUGAGUAUAUUUCCAGAAAUUGAUUUAUGGAAACUGUUUUGGCACACUUCAUCCAGCAGAAUUCGUGAUAUGCCAAUUUGGACCCUUAAUUUUGUAUUUUUCACAUUUUAGGCCCAAAAUUUGUGUUUUUAACCCAAAGAAAAUUGUUACUAACCCACUUAGCCAUUUUUCUUGAAACACUUUGUAUGUAGAAAUAUAUUUGAAGCUAAAAUCAUUUAACACAAGAUAUAUCUCGGUUUUGAGGGGUUUUAUGGCUAGAUCCAACAUUAUAACACACAAAUGCAUACAUAUAAGCAUGGAAAUCAUACAAGGCAUACAAAACACAUAUAGAUCUACACUUUCACUUGUAUUCCCCCCCCCAAAAAACUCAUAAAAACAGAAAAUAGGGGGUAUGAAGCUCACCUUGGGUGUGGGUUCGGUUUUGGAGAGAAGAUGGAAGAAAAAUGAAGUGAUUUUUGGUCUUAGCACCCUUUGAUGAAGAUUUCGACCUCUAGGAUGCAAGAUCACAAGAGUGAAUGAAUUUAGAAGAGAUUUUAAUAAAAUGAAGUAGCUAGAUCAUGGAUUAGUCAUCAACUUACCUUAGAUGAUGAUUUUUGGUGAUGGAUUUUCCUUGUGAAGCCCUUGAUUCACGAAAUUUUUGAAGAAGGGGGAAGGAGAUGUUCUUCAAGAUUUAGAGAGAGUAGAAUAGAUUUUUGUGAGUGUGUGUGUGUUGUGUUUGGCCGAGAGUGAGAGAGGAGAGAAGAAAGAAGUGAUCUUGAUAUGAUGCUUGCUUGGAAACAUGAGUUAUGUGCAUGGAAAUCCAACAUAUAAAAGUGAGGUGGCAACCCAAGGUCAACUCUCCCUUUUUCCUUGGGCUUGGGCCGAGAAUAGGGAGAGAAGAAGGGAUUUUUGGGCUUUUUGCCCCUAAGCCCAACAUUAGAGGUAGUUUGGGUGCUUAUUGGCCUUAUAAAAUAAAAUUGUGAUUUUUAUGCUUUAAUAAGCUAGGUUAGGUUAAAUUAUGGAUCAAAGCUUGUGAUUUAUUUCAUUCUAGGCCCAAUAUGGCCCAAAAUAUUGAAAUAAAUAAGUGUGGGUCCAAUUAGAGCCCAAUUAGGGUUCUAAGCCCAUGAUAGUCUAAUUGGAAGCUUUUUGGUCCAUUUGGAUCCAAUAGGAGAGUUCUAAUCCAAAAUGGACUUAACAAGGACUUUUAGGGUCUCCAAUUGUUUGAUGACUAUUUGUAGUACUUGUAUGAUGUAUUUGAUUGAAGUUUUUGAUUCACAUUAACUUGAAUGUAUAGAUUACAUGACACAAAAUUUCCAGUUGUGACAUCAUCCCCCCGUUAGAGGGAAUUUCGUCCCGAAAUUCUGUUUGAAAGCUAGAUUUGAGAAUGCUAGAAUAGGUGAGGGUACUUUUGUUUCAUUUGGUCUUCGCGUUCCCAAGUGAAUUCUGGCCCACGCUUCGCGUUCCACCGUACCUUCACGAUUGGGAUGCGGCUCUGUUUAGUACGCUUCACCUCCCUGUCCAUGAUUUCGACUGGUUCUUCGACGAACAGGAGAUUCUCAUUGAUUUCGAUUUCGUCAAGCGGAAUGACAAGGGUUUCAUCUGAUAGGCACUUCUUCAGAUUAGAGACAUGAAACACGGGGUGUACACCAUUUAGCUCCGCGGGUAGUUGUAGUCUGUAGGCUACCGGACCUAUUCGGGCGACGAUCUCGAAAGGUCCAAUGUACCGUGGGUUUAGCUUUCCCCGUUUUCCGAAACGUAUAACCCCUUUCCAGGGUGAGACUUUUAACAGUACUCGAUCGCCGACCUGGAAUUCUAAGGGCUUUCGCCGUUUAUCGGCGUAGCUCUUUUGUCGGUCACGCGACGCUUGCAAUCGAGCUCUGAUCUGAACGAUCUUUUCUGUGGUUUCGCGAAUGAUUUCCGGUCCCGUUAGUGCUCUGUCUGCCGUAUGCGUUCUCGCUAGUUGGGUGUCACCUACUUCAGCCCAACAUAACGGUGACCUACAUUUACGCCCGUACAGUGCUUCGAAAGGGGCCACCUUGAUGCUUGAAUGGUAACUAUUGUUAUAUGAGAACUCAAUCAACGGCAGGUGGGUAUCCCAAGACUUUCCAAAGUCUAUUACACAUGCACGAAGCAUGUCUUCAAGCGUCUGAAUGGUUCGUUCGCUUUGACCGUCCGUUUGUGGGUGAUACGCGGUGCUCAUAUCGAGAUGAGUUCCCAUUGCCUUGUGGAGUGAUUGCCAAAAGCGCGAUGUGAACCUACUGUCCCUAUCCGAGAUGAUAGAUUUUGGCACUCCAUGGAGUCUUACGAUUUCUCGUAGGUACAAACGCGUCAGUCUCUCCAUCUUGUAGGAUUCUUUGAUUGGCAGGAAAUGGGCAGAUUUCGUCAGUCGGUCGAUUAUUACCCAUAUGGUGUCCAAUCCGUCCGACGUCUUGGGCAGCUUGGUCACGAAGUCCAUAGAAAUCCCCUCCCAUUUCCACUCAGGGAUUGCCGGUUGCUGUAACAAUCCGGAAGGUUUCUGAUACUCCACUUUUACUUUGACGCACGUAAGGCACUUACUAACAUAAGUCGCGAUUUCCGCCUUCAUGUUAGGCCACCAAUAGUGUUGCUUAAUGUCCAGAUACAUCUUGUCCGAACCAGGAUGAAUGGAGUAUCGUGUCUUGUGGGCUUCCUUCAUAACGAUCUCUCUAAAUCCUCCGAUCUUUGGGACCCAAAUACGGUUCAUGAAGUAGUAUACACCAUUCUCCUUGACUUCUAGGUUCUUCUCCAUCCCGCGUAAUGCCUCGCUAGUUCUAUUUUCCGCUUUCAUAGCCUCUGUCUGGACUGAUGCAAUUUGAGUGGCCAGAUGAGACUGAAUGGUUAUCGAGUGCGUCUUUGUACGGCGAUUAGAGUACUCCUUCCGACUUAAGGCAUCGACUACCAUGUUGGCCUUGCCUGGAUGGUACUUGAUCUCGCAUUCGUAGUCGUUUAGCAAUUCCACCCAUCUUCGUUGUCUCAUGUUCAGCUCCUUCUGAUUCAAGAUGUGCUGGAGGCUCUUGUGGUCCGUGAAGAUGGUGCACUUUGUACCGUACAGGUAGUGCCUCCAAAUUUUUAGAGCGAAGACCACGGCUCCCAGUUCUAGGUCAUGGGUCGUGUAAUUUACUUCGUGCGUCUUUAGUUGGCGGGACGCAUAUGCUAUCACUCUUCCACGUUGCAUGAGAACGCAACCUAAGCCUUGAUUUGACGCGUCACAGUAAACUACAAAAUCUUCCGUUCCUUCAGGUAGAGAUAGUACAGGAGCGCUGCAAAGAGCUUGCUUCAAGGUUCGAAACGCAAUCUCUUGUCGGUCUGUCCACUUGAAUGGCACGCCCUUUUGCGUAAGCAAGGUAAGCGGCUUGGCGAUCUUAGAGAAGUUUUGGAUGAAUCUCCUAUAGUAGCCUGCUAGGCCUAAGAACUGACGAAUUUCUGUGGGCGUAGUCGGAGUUGCCCAUCCUUCCACAGCUUUGACCUUAGAGGGAUCCACAUGAAUUCCAUCUUGGCUAACUACGUGACCUAGAAAAUUCACGCUCCGUAGCCAAAACUCACACUUAGAGAGUUUGGCGUAAAGCUUUUCCGAUCGCAGCGUCUCUAGGACUUGUCGGAGAUGUUGGCCAUGCUCCUCUUUGCUUCGAGAAUAGACGAGGAUGUCAUCGAUAAACACAAUGACGAAGUUGUCCAGGAACGGUCGACAGAUUCGAUUCAUUAGGUCCAUAAAUGCAGCAGGUGCAUUUGUUAGACCGAAGGGCAUUACGACGAAUUCAUAAUGUCCGUAGCGGGUUCGGAAAGCGGUUUUAGGAAUAUCCUCUUCUCGGACUUUGAGUUGGUGGUAUCCGGACCGUAAAUCUAUUUUAGAAAAAUAGCUAGCUCCUUGGAGCUGGUCGAAUAGAUCAUCGAUUCGCGGGAGUGGGUAGCGGUUUUUAACAGUGAGUUUAUUCAACUCUCUGUAAUCGAUGCACAUUCUGAAAGAUCCGUCCUUCUUUUUGACAAAGAGCACCGGAGCUCCCCAUGGCGAGUAGCUAGGUCGGAUAAAUCCCUUGUCCAGAAGCUCACUGAGUUGGCUGGAUAAUUCCUGCAUUUCAGCAGGUGCCAACCGAUAUGGUGAUUUAGCGAGAGGAGUUGCUCCUGGAACGAGGUCGAUUCGGAACUCAACCUGUCUCUCUGGGGGUACUCCUGGAAGAUCUUCGGGAAACACGUCCGGAAAUUCACACGCUACCGGAAUGUCUUGGAUGUUAGUUUCUUCUUUGGUCUUGUCCACUAUGUGAGCCAAGAACGCCAAAUUGUUCUUUCGCAAGUGUUUUUGUGCUUUGAUGCACGAGAUGAGACGAAGAUUCGUACUGGGUUUGUCUCCGUAAAUUACUAGGGUUUCGUGAUUUGGGAGACGAAGGCGAACGGCCUUCUCGUGGCACAUAAUCUCAGCAUGGUGGGGGCUUAACCAAUCCAUGCCGAUAAUCACAUCGAAACUCCUAAUUGAUACUGGCAUUAGGUCUAUUCGAAAGACGUGCUGGUUAAGGGUUAGGGUACAUCCGAUGUAGAUUUCCCUAGUGGAUUCGGUUUUCCCAUUGGCCAUUUCCACCGUAUAGGUUUCAUUUAGCUUCUGGGGUUGUUGUUUUAAUAAAUGUUUAAACUUCUCGCUUACGAAACUUCGCUCCGCUCCGGUAUCAAAUAAGAUGCAUGCAUAAGUGUGGUUUAGGAGGAACGUACCGGUCACAACUGCGGGGUCCUGAACUGCAUCACUCUGACCCAUAGUCAGCAUUCUUCCUGCUCCUCUGUUUCCUGAGUUGUUGUUGUUGUUAGGGCAGUCUCGACGGAAAUGUCCCGUCCUUCCACACCCGAAACAGGUGUGGCUAGGCCCUGCGUUGUUGCCGCCGGCAUUGGUGUUGUUGGUAUUGCGGUGGUUGUUGUUGUUGUUCUGGUUGUUUCCCUGACUCUGGUUCUGAGAAGGAUAAGUCCUGCAGAACCUUGCAGUGUGUCCCCUUCGGUUGCAACUGGUGCAAUGGAACUCCCUACAUUCUCCUUGGUGAUGGAAACUGCACUUGUUGCAUUUGGGAAGAUUACCGGAAUAGGGUCUUGAAGCAUUUGAAGCAGCUGAGGCUGGAGCAUGUGAGGUGACUGGAACCGGCGCAGUGACAGCGUGAACUGCCACCGUUUGCUGCUUUUUAGAGGUCUCGGGACCCUGACGCCCCUUCCUCUUGUUGUUCCAUCCUUUCUUACCAUCACUCUCCUUCUUCUUCUCAGUCUCUACCGGUUUCUCGCCCUUUUUGUGGUUAUGAUCAUAUAGCCUCUUUGCCAAUCUCUUCGCACUGUCAAAAGUUUCAGGGUUCGCAGCUAUCACAUUCCCUUGAAUGGGGGAUGUCAGUCCCCAAAUGAAUCGUUCAAUCUUCUUCCCCUCUGAUGUGAUCAUACCCGGGCACAACAGAGAUAGUUCGCUGAAUCUCGAUAUGUAAGCAUCGAUGUUCCCAUUCUGCACCGUGAGAUUCCAUAGUUCCUGCUCCAUCUUCUGUAUUUCGCCUCGGGGGCAGUACUCAGCCGUCAACAUCUCUUUCAUUUCUGCCCAGGGAAUAGAGUUGGCGACAGGGAGUGUCAUAGCUUCUACGUGACCAUUCCACCAAGUGAGUGCUUGGUCCACAAAAGUGCAGGCCGCGAACUUCACCUUCAUCUGCUCGGGGCACUCGCAUAUCUCGAAUACCGACUCUACCUUCUCGAUCCAUCGCUUCAGAGUGAUCAUCCCUCCAGUGCCGUUGAAAGUCCGUGGUUUAGCGUUUGCGAAGUCCUUGUAGGUGCACGUUUUAGUGGGUCCUUGGUUCGUCCCGUUGUUCGAACUUCCGGAUCCUUGCCCGUUACCUCCUCCGUUGUUCCCUCGGUGAAGUUGUGCCAUAGCUGCUGUGACCGCAGCAGACACGGCUGCCUGGAAAGCAGUGGAGUCAACUUCGGGCGGGGUUGGUUCGGGAUUUCCGCGAGUAGCUGGGCGAGGCAUCUUUCUGUCAUGAAACGGAAAGAUGUUGAGUGUACGUGGUUUCUGUGAGGUUGUGAUCCUACUAACUAGGUGUAUGGUACGAACCUAAACAUUACUAUCAUCAAGCAUACAAUCAUAACGUCUCAACACAUAACAACUGAGAAUAUCAUAGCAAAACACACAAAAGUUUAUUAAUAUUAUCCGCAUUUAGUACAAGAAAAUUUGCUCGUAAGAGCAUACAUAAGUGACACUAAUCCGACAGCAUAACGGCUCCAUGAGUAGUGUAGUCACUUAAACAUAGAGCCGGAGUACAUAACAUAGUUCCUAAUGACCUACUAUGAUAAGUCUAUCCCUAACCGCGAUGAGCUGCGUCAGGAGGUGGUGCCGAGGUCAUAUGCCGAAAUGUUGUGCCAGUAGCUGCGCCAUCUCUGCCAUGUCUCCUAUAACCUCAUCCCUCUCAUGCUCUGCUUGCACUGCCCGAGCCUCCAUAGCAUACAGCUGUUGUCGCAGUGCGGCGAUCUCAGCUUCGAGGGAACGGUUCUCUCUUGGGGGGUUCGCUGGUGGAGCAGGGUGAUCUAGUCGUGCCUCGUCCUCGCAUGGCGGGACGGGGUCCUGGUCCCCGACCUGGCCGUCUUCGUCGUCAUCGUCGAGCUCUCCAAAUUCGUAGUCAGUGUCUACGUAUUCGUCGGGUCCGACAUCGUGUGCUUCACCUGGAUUCUCUCCUGGCUCAUCCACAAGCAUCCCGUGAGCUACUAAGGCCUGAUGAAACUGGAUACCCUGCUGCUCCUCCUCAGGCUCCUCCUCCUCCUCUAGCCACCCGUUGUUUCCCUGAUUAGGGAAGUAGGGGUCUCCAGGGUGAUGAAAACCAGCCAUGCUGUCUGCGCGAGUAUGUAAAUAUGCUAACAUUAUUCCUAGGAUGCUAUGACUAUUGUACAGACUAAGCAAACGUUCUCUUUUUGGUGAUAAAGGGUAUAGUUUUAGGUUCCCUAGCUAUCCCGAUCUCAUCAAGACGUGUGUUAGUUUUACCUUGGAGAGAAUGUAGUUGAUCAGGCUACAUUCACUCCUUGGUAUCACUAAGAACAGUCCCGAAUUAACCGAGAUACCAGUGUUAUUGUGUUUGAUUCAGCGUUAGGUCCUUAUCCCUAAUGCAAGCAAGUGUGUUUUAUUUACUUGUUUUGUUCAGAGUUAUGUUAGUCCCUCUUUUUGGUUUAUAGUUGCAUAUCAAUGUAUGGCUCGACAUGCUAGUUCACUAUAAACAAAGCUCUGAUACCAACCUGUCACACCCCCGAACCAGACGGCGGAAACGUCCGGGGGCUGUCGUGACUCAAUUGAAUACCAUAACAUUGAAUAUAUAUGAAACAUAACAACAUUCGUCACCGUGCAUUAAUAUAGUACAACCAGCAGUGUUUACAUGUCAUACAUUGUUUAAACAUUACAUUCCCAAAAAUUAAAUUGUUCGAUUCAUACAUAAAUAAACUGCAACCGUCACUGAAUAUGAUUUCCUUUGAUUCACUGGUUCCCUGAGAAUACAAGUAUUUUGAAAAACGUCAACAUAUGAAAUGUUGGUGAGUUCAUAAGUAGUGUUUGAAAUCCAAUGUUUGUAUUGUUUGAAAACCACCAGAAAAUCCGAUAUUUUCUGAAAUGAAAAACUUUCGAAAAUGUUUGUGAAGAUCCAUAGGUAUGCCUGUUUGUUUCUAUACUUGUGAAAAUUGUUUAUUAAAAAUUAUAUGCGUUUCGAAUCCGAUAUGUUUGAAAAACCUAGGAAAACCCGAUGUUUUCCUAAUCCUUUGAAAUCCGUUAAGUUGCGUUGAAACCAUUACAAAGAUAGGAGUGUCAUUCCCAGGCGACGUUGGAUUAUUUUUGAGCAUGAUUAUUUACUACAAACCCGCAUUACACAAACGCCCAGUUCAUAGCAAUACUAACGAUCCCGAAGGCGUCGUUCGUACAAAUCACGUUAUCCAGCCGCCCUGACUAUGUGUCGUCCCACAUCCGAAGAGUAAGAGGACACGAAGGCCUCGAUGACUCUAUUAAUCGGUUGGGGAUAAUAUGCGUGCGAGGGGUCCCCGACCCGCCUCGCAAAAUAUGCAGACUUUUCUAGCAAUACCAAGGACCCUUGGGGACCAGUGGUAUACAAGCCAUUGAAAGUCCCUCUACGUUGUGCCAAGUCGGUGAAACUCAACACUUCGUAGAAAAUAUGCGUCUUCGGGCCUUAAGAUCAGGUCAUUGGGCUAGCUAGGCCCAACAAGCAAGAUUUUACACUUUUGGGGCCCGAAGAUGGUGCGUAGACGUCUGUGCACACUCGUAUGUAAGCUAAGUUCCCAAACGUUAUUUGUAUGAACCGUAGUGUCGUAGUGUCGUAGUGUUAGUAGUUGUAGAUUUCUAUUGGUUCGAGACCGAGCCAAUUCGUUUAACAACGACUUUUGGUAUUGUAAUGUAUUGUAUUUCGUCGAUAGCCGCGGUGCCAUUAUUUGAUCAAAUUGUGUAUAUUGAAUUAGCCUUGAAAUUUUUCUGUUUUCAGCCCCUCAUUGUUUGUAAAAUUUACAUUUUCAACCCUUUUAUUAAAUACUUCCCGGUUUGGUCCUUAAAUUAAUUUUCUUGACAUUUUAACACCAAAAAUUAUUGAAAUUAAUAUUUUUCAGCAUAUUUUUCAUAGAAAACAGUUUAAGUCCCUGAAAAUGCAGUUUUCUCGGUUUUAACCCUUUUUUUUCGCAACUUUGACAAUUUUGGCCCAAAUUGGAAAAUUUUUGCAACUUUGGUCCUUUUUAAAUUUAAAAAGCAUUUUAAACCUUUGAAAAGGACUUGGAUCACUUAUGGUCCACUGUUUUACAGAAAAUCACAGUUUUGGCCCUCCAAAACAGAAAAAUUCGCAUAAUGGGCCUCAUUGGGCCAAAAAUGUCAUUUUUAGCCCAUUAAGCUUGGAAUUUAUGUUUUUAAUCCCCUAAAUGAGUAUAUUUCCAGAAAUUGGUUUAUGGAAACUGUUUUGGCACACUUCAUCCAGCAGAAUUCGUGAUAUGCCAAUUUGGACCCUUAAUUUUGUAUUUUUCACAUUUUAGGCCCAAAAUUUGUGUUUUUAACCCAAAGAAAAUUGUUACUAAACCACUUAGCCAUUUUUCUUGAAACACUUUGUAUUUAGAAAUAUAUUUGAAGCUAAAAUCAUUUAACACAAGAUAUAUCUCGGUUUUGAGGGGUUUUAUGGCUAGAUCCAACAUUAUAACACACAAAUGCAUACAUAUAAGCAUGGAAAUCAUACAAGGCAUACAAAACACAUAUAGAUCUACACUUUUACUUGUAUUCCCCCCCCCCAUAAAACUCAUAAAAACAGAAAAUAGGGGGUAUGAAGCUCACCUUGGGUGUGGUUUCGGUUUUGGAGAGAAGAUGGAAGAAAAAUGAAGUGAUUUUUGGUCUUAGCACCCUUUGAUGAAGAUUUCGACCUCUAGGAUGCAAGAUCACAAGAGUGAAUGAAUUUAGAAGAGAUUUUAAUAAAAUGAAGUAGCUAGAUCAUGGAUUAGUCAUCAACUUACCUUAGAUGAUGAUUUUUGGUGAUGGAUUUUCCUUGUGAAGCCCUUGAUUCACGAAAUUUUUGAAGAAGGGGGAAGGAGAUGUUCUUCAAGAUUUAGAGAGAGUAGAAUAGAUUUUUGUGAGUGUGUGUGUGUUGUGUUUGGCCGAGAGUGAGAGAGGAGAGAAGAAAGAAGUGAUCUUGAUAUGAUGCUUGCUUGGAAACAUGAGUUAUGUGCAUGGAAAUCCAACAUAUAAAAGUGAGGUGGCAACCCAAGGUCAACUCUCCCUUUUUCCUUGGGCUUGGGCCGAGAAUAGGGAGAGAAGAAGGGAUUUUUGGGCUUUUUGCCCCUAAGCCCAACAUUAGAGGUAGUUUGGGUGCUUAUUGGCCUUAUAAAAUAAAAUUGUGAUUUUUAUGCUUUAAUAAGCUAGGUUAGGUUAAAUUAUGGAUCAAAGCUUGUGAUUUAUUUCAUUCUAGGCCCAAUAUGGCCCAAAAUAUUGAAAUAAAUAAGUGUGGGUCCAAUUAGAGCCCAAUUAGGGUUCUAAGCCCAUGAUAGUCUAAUUGGAAGCUUUUUGGUCCAUUUGGAUCCAAUAGGAGGGUUCUAAUCCAAAAUGGACUUAACAAGGACUUUUAGGGUCUCCAAUUGUUUGAUGACUAUUUGUAGUACUUGUAUGAUGUAUUUGAUUGAAGUUUUUGAUUCACAUUAACUUGAAUGUAUAGAUUACAUGACACAAAAUUUCCAGUUGUGACAGAAAGGAAGUUCUGGGGUGACAAAUGUCAUUAACGAUUCCAACG